Molecule: long non-coding RNA, 434 nt
Filed under: Eucalyptus grandis
Lineage: Eukaryota; Viridiplantae; Streptophyta; Magnoliopsida; Myrtales; Myrtaceae
Description: long non-coding RNA (EGRA_LNC001600)
Source: RNAcentral
UUCCAUCAAGGAGAAGUUCUGUUAGAGCAGGCAAUGUACCCAGCUCUUUUGGCAAAUGGUAGAGACUAUAACAAAAAUUCAAGUUCAAGUACUCCAAGUGCUUCAAUUGGCCAAUUGACAAGUCAAUUUCAGCCAAUUUACGACAAUCUUCAAUAAUCAAUCUCUCCAAUGUCAGGAGUCCAGAGAAAUCGGGAGUCUUGGACAAACGCUUACAUCUUGAAAGGUUAAGAACUUUUAAUUUCUUGGCUCUAUGUAGUGCCAACAAAACAAACGUCAAUAAAUCUGUUAAAUCAAGAGAAUGUCCACACUCAUAAAGAAGACUUCUCUAGAGCUAAGGGUACCUUAAUAUGUCUCCAUCCAUCCCAAUCAUGAGUUAAUUUACUUCCUGAAAAAUCAAGAAUGACUAGAUUACUCAAUGAAAACUUGCUCAACUU